Molecule: ribosomal RNA, 257 nt
Filed under: uncultured bacterium
Lineage: Bacteria
Description: partial 16S ribosomal RNA
Rfam family: Bacterial small subunit ribosomal RNA
Source: RNAcentral
UACGUAGGGUGCGAGCGUUGUCCGGAAUUAUUGGGCGUAAAGAGCUCGUAGGCGGCUUGUCGCGUCGGAUGUGAAAGCCCGGGGCUUAACUCCGGGUCUGCAUUCGAAUACGGGCAGGCUAGAGUUCGGUAGGGAGAGUCGGAAUUCCUGGUGUAGCGGUGAAAUGACGGCAGAGUAUCAGGAGGAACACCGGUGGCGAAGGCGGAUCUCUGGGCCGAUACUGACGCUGAGGAGCGAAAGCGUGGGGAGCGAACAGG